Long non-coding RNA from Vitis vinifera (wine grape), 954 nucleotides. RefSeq lists it as uncharacterized. The record is from RefSeq and is a predicted model, not a curated record. The transcript has 3 exons. NCBI's taxonomy places the organism in Eukaryota, Viridiplantae, Streptophyta, Magnoliopsida, Vitales, Vitaceae.
AAAAAAAAAAUUGAAAAUGAUCAUCUCCAUAUAUGAAAGUGACCAAAGAUGAUAAAGUUAGGCAAGUGGGAACUCACCCACAUAAAAUAAAAUGGAAGUUGACUUUGUGGAGUACUUUUUAUUCAUUUCUAUAUUCUAUUAUUCUCCUCUAUAAAUACCCACCAACCAACCUCUAUCUCUACACAAUUCUGCAGUAAAUUUGAUCAUUUUCAACAUGGGUCACAAGGGUUUUCUUCAUCUGAUGAUCAUCUUUUUGGGUUUCUCAUGGCUUCUCUCUUGUGCUGCAGUUCCUUCAUCAAGAAGCUUCCAGUUAAUCAAGGAGGAGCUCUCAGCCCAAGCUGUUUUUCUCUCUCAGAAGGGAAGGGGUUUCUACAAAUUUCCAGAGGUGGAAGAAGGGUACAAAAGGGUGGGGAGGAUUGCCAUGGAGGGCAUAGAUGACUAUGCAGGAACAGGAGCAAACACCCACCAUGACCCAAAGCCUCCAGGGAGAGUUUGAGCCAAGACCUUAAACCAGAGAUGAACUCAAAGAAAAGGAGUUGAUGAUGAUGAUCAUUAUCUUAGUCUGGAAUGUGUUCUACCUAUAUCCAUAUCCACAAUCCAAUAAUUAUGAAUAUACUUCUUUCUUCCUUUCUACAGUGUAUAGUGUAUGAAAUAAAUAUAUAUAUUGAUCUAGCAUGAUUAAGAAAAGAGAGAUGGGGUUCACCCUUUCUUUUUCUUUUUUUUUUUUGUUGGGGGAAUGGUGUAGGUUGAUAUAUAUGGGAUUAAGCUUUUCUAUGAUUAAGAGAGAGAGAGAGAGAGAGAGAGAGAGAGAGAGAGGGUUCACUUUUUUAGUUUUUGUGGGGGUGGGACUGGUGGAGGUUGAUAUAUAUGGGAUUAAGCUUUUGUUGUCCCCUUGUAAUUUAUUAUAUAGUAUUUUAUAUGAUUAAGUUAAUGGUAAUAUUGUAAUUAUCUUUA